This 139-nucleotide unclassified non-coding RNA is filed under the name uncultured Lophiostoma. RNAcentral's name for it is "sequence contains ITS1". The record is from RNAcentral. Lineage: Eukaryota; Fungi; Ascomycota; Dothideomycetes; Pleosporales; Lophiostomataceae.
CAGUUGGGGCCCCGCCCCGAUCAAGAUACCACCCCUUGCAUUUUGAGUACCUCUGUUUCCUCGGCGGGCCCGCCCGCCAACGGGGACCACAAAGAAACCUCUUGCAGUUGCAGUAAACGUCUAAACAAACAAAAAAUCA